This 236-nucleotide ribosomal RNA is filed under the name uncultured bacterium. RNAcentral describes it as "partial 16S ribosomal RNA". It matches the Rfam family "Bacterial small subunit ribosomal RNA", at positions 97 to 334 of the family's 1533-position model. The record is from RNAcentral.
GGCGCACGGGUGAGUAACGCGUAGAUAAUCUGCCCUUAAGUCUGGGAUAACCUUCCGAAAGGAGGGCUAAUACCGGAUAACAAUAGAAGUCGAGUGGCUUUUAUUUGAAAGAUUUAUUGCUUAAGGAUGAGUCUGCGUAGCAUUAGCUUGUUGGUGGGGUAAAGGCCUACCAAGGCUACGAUGUUUAGCGGGUCUGAGAGGAUGAUCCGCCACACUGGAACUGAGACACGGUCCAG